GAAAUGCGAUAAGUAAUGUGAAUUGCAGAAUUCAGUGAAUCAUCGAAUCUUUGAACGCACAUUGCGCCCGCCAGUAUUCUGGCGGGCAUGCCUGUUCGAGCGUCAUUUCAACCAUCAAGCCCCCGGCUUGUGUUGGGGACCUGCGGCUGCCCGCAGGCCCUGAAAACCAGUGGUGGGCUCGCUGUCACACCGAGCGUAGUAGCAUACAUCUCGCUCAGGGCGUGCUGCGGGUUCCGGCCGUUAAAAGCCUUUUUUACCCAAGGUUGACCUCGGAUCAGGUAGGAAGACCCGCUGAACUUAAGC
This 303-nucleotide unclassified non-coding RNA is filed under the name plant metagenome. RNAcentral describes it as "partial contains 5.8S ribosomal RNA, internal transcribed spacer 2, and large subunit ribosomal RNA". The stretch from base 1 to 105 matches the Rfam family "5.8S ribosomal RNA", at positions 50 to 154 of the family's 154-position model. The record is from RNAcentral.